UCCCCAUCCAUCCCUCCAUUUCCCCUCAUUCACCUUCAUUCCCCCCCCUCCAUUUCCCCUCCCUCUCCCGCCUUUCCCGGCUCUCCACAGCACCGCGAUGGAGACCGCGGGCUGCGUGUGGGAAGAGCGUUGCCCUCGUAGCGCCCAUCAUCGGCGGCGAACAACCUCCAACAAUAUCCCGUGUUCUCUGUGCAUAGAGGAACAUUUGCAAUGCAAAUAAAGCCAGGGAUUCCUUCAGAGAACGGCGUUUAUCAGCCUCGGGCUCAGCUGUGUGCGAACCCCGCAGGUCACCGGCCCGGCUGCGGGCAUCGUUGAACACCGCUGUUAGCUCCUAUUUGCAUCUGAAAAGUGGGUUUUGUUUACACCUCCGUACAACGGGUUGUUCCGAGCUUUAAAUUAACCUCCAAACUCAAUCGGUGACCGUUUAUGAGCAAGUUUUUCUCUUAGAAACCCGCUUGGUGCUGGUUUUUGUUUGGGGGGGGUCAGCCCGUCGCUGUGAGAGAGCAGAAGAAUGUUAUGAGCCCGCAGCGCUGUGCGUGCUGCUCACCCGUAGCCACAGGCGGGGAUUAACGGGCUCCCAAACCCUUCCAAAGAGCCACUUCAACCUCGUCAGCUUUGAUAGGAGAUAUUAGUAAAGCAAAACGCUUCAUCGCUUCAGUUCACAGCGACAAAACAAAAGGAACCCCCCCACAAACCCCCCCUGUUUGAUUCCUCUUUUAAGUGCCCGCUGCUAAUUUUCCGUGUUCUGUCUGUUGCAGGCCCGAAGGACAUCUCCUCGGACAGUCUCUUUUCUUUCCCCAUUCAGACCCGGGCCUCUUUCUUGUGAGUUCCCAUUGAUAUCUUUAAUUGUAGACGUUAUUCCCGUGCUCACGACUCUGAGGGUUCAGCCUUUUCUUUUCCAGCUCGUGGUGUCAUUCAUUCUCAGCCUUGGUUGGUUACAAGCCCCCAGGUUUAAAACCUUUCCUGGAAAUCGUUUGAGUUAUAGAAGGGAGCUUUUCAACUCAUCUGGUCCACCACCCUGCAAUGAACAGGGAGAAUCCUUCCCACAGUGGAGCACUUGAUCCCACUCUCCCUCUGUAUAACCAAGUCCUAAUGUAGGAGAUGCUGUUUAAGUCAUGCAACCCUCCGAACUUUUCCUGCCGAAUGAAACUUCAUUAGAAUCUGAUUUUUAUUUCAAUUCCGACAUUUAAAUUCUGACAUUUGUGUGCCUUUAUUUUAUCCAGCUCGUUGCUGCCACACACACUGGAUGCAGAUUGCCCUCCCACUCCAGCUCGGGAUGCUGCAGUUCCCCAUCUAUGCUGAUAUCUCAAUGCACUGCUCCAGCUUUCAAGGUGCUCAAUGGCCGAGGAUGGGAUUCAAGCAUGAACUUGACCACUUCUGAGUUAGGUAUGGGGAAACUCAGCUUCCACUCUGAUAGGCAGACCAGCACCUGGCCACAAAACUGAACUACACUGAAGGAAUUGGGCAGUUAAAAAGCAGCCAAAGGUAGAUUUGCCAGGCUCUGUAGGAGGAUGUUGGGAUUUCAGAUGUCUGGUAGUGUUGGGGGGAAGGUGUAGCCAGCAGCCACACAAGCUUCCUCCAAACCUCUCCUUUUGCAGGGAUGUCUGAAGCUAACGAGCUGUCAGCUGAGUGCCUUCGCACCCAAGGUAGCCGUGGGCUGAGCUCCUGCUUCUUUAGAUCUAUUCCAGCAACUUCUGGGUUUUGCAAUAAGCGUCUGCAAAUCCAAUUAGCUACUUUCUUUGUGGCACUGUAGUCUGGCAGAGAUCUGCUGUGUUGCUGCCAUCUACAGUAGGGCCAGUGCCAAUGGAUAAGAAACAGAUCUGAUUUGCAUAUUCAAAUAUGCAAAUGGACCGAUGACAGCUCUCCUUAAUUUCUGUUUGGGCUUUUGAUUGCAAAAGCGUUGCUUCAGAGAUCCUAGUCUUGUGCUGAGAGGUGUGUGUUCCAUCCUGCCUGGCCCUCGCUAUGCCAAGGGAUCGUUCUGUCCCAUGAGAGCUGGAAAAUGAAGUGGAAAAAAUACUUUGCACUGCACCUGUCCCUCCCUUGGCCAGGUAAACACAGGAGACACCCAUACUGCUUACUUGCCAGGAUCCAAGCAACAUCUCUCCUGUUGCAAUGAGAGUAGUUUCCUGUGGGCUUAGCACCACUCUUUGAGUUGGCUGCCUCAUACCAUCAAGCCUUGUGGUCUAUUGAUAUGUAUGUGUGUAUUAUGUUUGUGUUACUACAAACACAACAGCCAACCACUUCUGUAACCUUGCCUUGCCCUUCCUGUUCUUGGAGAAACAAGUUCGCUUCGCUGUUCAUUGCCAUUCAGCAUUGUUUUCUCAUUGCUAUUUUAGUUGCAUCUUCCCUUUUUCUGCUCUGAACUGAAGACCACAAGUUCUGUGGUCAGUCUGUGCUUUGAGUGGCUUGGAGAGCUGCCAGCUGCCAAGGAAGGCCCAUCCCCAGCACUUAGAGUCAAACAGCGUGGAGAAACACUGAUCUUGUAAUGGUUGUGUGGACUUAAAGACACUGAUCUUGCAUUUGAGCCUAGUUUCUCUGAGAAAACUCACUUCAGCUUCAUAUCCAGAUGCAAUACUGCUGAAUGGAAAGACCCCUCAGUUCUCCCCUGGAUCUCUAUGCAACAUGGGCAGCACAAGCGUCCUCAAACCGCCCCGCCAACGUGCUUCAAUUCUGAAUGAGGAGAACCAGCUUUCUGGGUGAGAAAGGAGUCUGUCUCUAUUCAGUCCCUGACCCUUCUGCUCAAGACUGUUGAUGAAGGGGCCUCAUUAGCACCAAAGUGAACUGAGACACCUCGUCUGUCAUGGAAUCUGAAUCAGUGCAGCUCAUGAAUUGGGACCCAAUGCAUGAAUGCUUAUGGAAAGUGAAUGGGAAAACAUGGAGGACAGUCCUAACUGAGACCACGAGCUUCAGCGUGAAGGCAGGGAGAAGCAAAUCCUUUCAUCUCAGGUCCAUGAAUGCGCACUGUCCUUUAUGGAUAAUUCCCUCUGCUCUGAAGUUUCCAGCCUGCUGGCCACAUCCUGCAGUGUAAAUCUAUAACAGCAGGAGGCAAUUUGGUGCAGCAAAACAGAUCUGAAUGGGUUCCCCUCAACCCCACACUGGUCCCCGAGUCCCACAUAAAGGAGAAGGAGCUGCAGAGACGGCAGAGAUGAACCUCUCAACCUCCUCCUCACUUU
Molecule: non-coding RNA, 3173 nt
Organism: Coturnix japonica (Japanese quail)
Lineage: Eukaryota; Metazoa; Chordata; Aves; Galliformes; Phasianidae
Source: RefSeq, a predicted model, not a curated record